RNAcentral lists this ribosomal RNA (868 nucleotides) under uncultured archaeon. RNAcentral's name for it is "bacterial SSU rRNA". It matches the Rfam family "Archaeal small subunit ribosomal RNA", at positions 1 to 878 of the family's 1478-position model. The record is from RNAcentral.
CUCCGGUGAUCCCGCCGGACCCGACUGCUAUCAGAGUGGGACUAAGCCAUGCGAGUCAACAUAGCAAUAUGUGGCAUACGGCUCAGUAACACGUAGUCAACAUGCCCAGGGGACGUGGAUAACCUCGGGAAACUGAGGAUAAACCGCGAUAGGUCAUCACUUCUGGAAUGGGUAAUGACUUAAAUCUAUAUGGCCCCUGGAUUGGACUGCGGCCGAUCAGGCUGUUGGUGAGGUAAUGGCCCACCAAACCUGUAACCGGUACGGGCUCUGAGAGGAGGAGCCCGGAGAUGGGCACUGAGACAAGGGCCCAGGCCCUAUGGGGCGCAGCAGGCGCGAAACCUCUGCAAUAGGCGAAAGCUUGACAGGGUUACUCUGAGUGAUUUCCGUUAAGGAGAUCUUUUGGCACCUCUAAAAAUGGUGCAGAAUAAGGGGUGGGCAAGUCUGGUGUCAGCCGCCGCGGUAAUACCAGCACCCCGAGUGGUCGGGACGUUUAUUGGGCCUAAAGCAUCCGUAGCCGGUUCUACAAGUCUUCCGUUAAAUCCACCUGCUUAACAGAUGGGCUGCGGAAGAUACUAUAGAGCUAGGAGGCGGGAGAGGCAAGCGGUACUCGAUGGGUAGGGGUAAAAUCCGUUGAUCCAUUGAAGACCACCAGUGGCGAAGGCGGCUUGCCAGAACGCGCUCGACGGUGAGGGAUGAAAGCUGGGGGAGCAAACCGGAUUAGAUACCCGGGUAGUCCCAGCCGUAAACGAUGCAGACUCGGUGAUGGGUUGGCUUCGCGCUAACCCAGUGCCGCAGGGAAGCCGUUAAGUCUGCCGCCUGGGUAGUACGGUCGCAAGACUGAAACUUAAAGGGAAUUGGCGGGGGAGCA